Molecule: ribosomal RNA, 253 nt
Filed under: uncultured bacterium
Lineage: Bacteria
Description: partial 16S ribosomal RNA
Rfam family: Bacterial small subunit ribosomal RNA
Source: RNAcentral
UACAGAGGGUGCAAGCGUUGUUCGGAAUUACUGGGCGUAAAGCGCGUGUAGGCGGCUUGAUAAGUCAGACGUGAAAUCCCUCGGCUCAACCGAGGAACUGCGUCUGAUACUGUCAGGCUAGAGUGUCGGAGGGGAUGGCGGAAUUCCUGGUGUAGAGGUGAAAUUCGUAGAUAUCAGGAGGAACAUCCGUGGCGAAGGCGGCCAUCUGGAAGACAACUGACGCUGAGACGCGAAAGCGUGGGUAGCAAACAGG